Molecule: ribosomal RNA, 248 nt
Filed under: uncultured Actinomycetales bacterium
Lineage: Bacteria; Bacillati; Actinomycetota; Actinomycetes; Actinomycetales
Description: partial 16S ribosomal RNA
Rfam family: Bacterial small subunit ribosomal RNA
Source: RNAcentral
GGGGUGCUCGAGUGGCGAACGGGUGAGUAACACGUGAGUAACCUGCCCUUGACUUUGGGAUAACUUCAGGAAACUGGGGCUAAUACCGGAUAGGAGCUCCUGCUGCAUGGUGGGGGUUGGAAAGUUUCGGCGGUUGGGGAUGACUCGCGGCUUAUCAGCUUGUUGGUGGGGUAGUGGCUUACCAAGGCUUUGACUGGUAGCCGGCCUGAGAGGGUGACCGGCCACAUUGGGACUGAGAUACGGCCCAG